Molecule: small RNA, 730 nt
Filed under: Pan troglodytes (chimpanzee)
Lineage: Eukaryota; Metazoa; Chordata; Mammalia; Primates; Hominidae
Description: processed transcript
Source: RNAcentral
CGGGAGCCGGUUCGGUUGCGGGUGUCUCUGGCCCUGCGGUCAGCCCUGGGAACGUCCCGGAGAGCUAGAUUCCUAGAGGCCCGAUUCCGCUAGCCCGGAACAGACAAAGCCAGCGCUCCCGCCCGCUCCCCGACUUAGGAUCCGAUGCCGGCAGCGUCCUGGGGCCCCCGUAGCGGGGCUGGACCAUGAGCCUGCUGGACGGCCUCGCCUCCUCGCCGCGGGCUCCGCUGCAGUCCAGCAAGGCCAGGAUGAAAAAGCUCCCGAAGAAGAGCCAGAAUGAGAAGUACCGGCUGAAGUACCUGCGGCUGCGCAAAGCGGCCAAGGCCACGGUGUUUGAAAAUGCUGCUAUUUGUGAUGAAAUUGCUCGUCUUGAGGAAAAAUUUCUUAAAGCAAAAGAAGAAAGAAGGUACUUGCUAAAGAAGCUCCUCCAGCUUCAGGCUCUAACUGAAGGGGAAGUACAGGCUGCAGCUCCUUCCCACAGUUCCAGUUUGCCCCUGACUUAUGGUGUGGCCAGCUCUGUGGGAACUAUACAGGGAGCUGGGCCUAUUUCAGGGCCCAGCACUGGGGCUGAGGAACCAUUUGGGAAGAAAACUAAGAAGGAGAAAAAAGAAAAAGGCAAAGAGAACAACAAACUGGAAGCAGCAGCCCCUUGCUGAUCCAUACCAACCCCAGAAUAUCUCCAGUCCCUGCAAAACCAGAUCAUCACCGACCGACCUGGCUUUCAUGAUGA